Molecule: ribosomal RNA, 440 nt
Filed under: uncultured Janthinobacterium sp.
Lineage: Bacteria; Pseudomonadati; Pseudomonadota; Betaproteobacteria; Burkholderiales; Oxalobacteraceae
Description: bacterial SSU rRNA
Rfam family: Bacterial small subunit ribosomal RNA
Source: RNAcentral
GGAAUUUUGGACAAUGGGCGAAAGCCUGAUCCAGCAAUGCCGCGUGAGUGAAGAAGGCCUUCGGGUUGUAAAGCUCUUUUGUCAGGGAAGAAACGGUGAGAGCUAAUAUCUUUUGCUAAUGACGGUACCUGAAGAAUAAGCACCGGCUAACUACGUGCCAGCAGCCGCGGUAAUACGUAGGGUGCAAGCGUUAAUCGGAAUUACUGGGCGUAAAGCGUGCGCAGGCGGUUUUGUAAGUCUGAUGUGAAAUCCCCGGGCUCAACCUGGGAAUUGCAUUGGAGACUGCAAGGCUAGAAUCUGGCAGAGGGGGGUAGAAUUCCACGUGUAGCAGUGAAAUGCGUAGAUAUGUGGAGGAACACCGAUGGCGAAGGCAGCCCCCUGGGUCAAGAUUGACGCUCAUGCACGAAAGCGUGGGGAGCAAACAGGAUUAGAUACCCCAG